UCCGUUAUGGUGUAGUGGCUCACAUUAUCGCCUCUCAUGUCCUGGAAUUGUGACGGCGCGAUAGCCCAGGGUUCGAUUCCCUGUAACGGAA
Molecule: non-coding RNA, 91 nt
Organism: Paramarasmius palmivorus
Lineage: Eukaryota; Fungi; Basidiomycota; Agaricomycetes; Agaricales; Marasmiaceae
Source: the annotation of a GenBank genome assembly